AAUCAACGCUGGCGGCGUGCCUCAGACAUGCAAGUCGAACGAUUAAAGCUCUCUUCGGAGAGUGCAUAGAGUGGCGCACGGGUGAGUAACACGUAAGUAAUCUACCUUCGAGUGGGAAUAACGUCCGGAAACGGACGCUAAUACCGCAUAAUGCAGCGGCAUCGUAAGAUGACAGUUGUUAAAGAUUUAUCGCUUGAAGAGGAGCUUGCGGCAGAUUAGCUAGUUGGUAAGGUAAUGGCUUACCAAGGCUACGAUCUGUAACCGGUCUUAGAGGACGGUCGGUCACACUGACACUGAAUAACGGGUCAGACUCCUACGGAGGCAGCAGUCGGAAUUUUGGGCAAUGGCGAAAGCCUGACCCAGCAACGCCGCGUGAAGGGAUGAAGUAUUUCGGUAUGUAAACUUCGAAAGAAUAGAA
This 418-nucleotide ribosomal RNA is filed under the name uncultured bacterium. Its description in RNAcentral is "bacterial SSU rRNA". It matches the Rfam family "Bacterial small subunit ribosomal RNA", at positions 32 to 445 of the family's 1533-position model. The record is from RNAcentral.